CUACGGGCGGCUGCAGUGGGGAAUAUUGGACAAUGGGGGAAACCCUGAUCCAGCAAUGCCGCGUGUGUGAAGAAGGCCUGCGGGUUGUAAAGCACUUUCGGUUGGGAGGACUGCUUCUAGCACUAAUAUUGUUGGAAGUUGACGUUACCUUCAGAAGAAGCACCGGCUAACUCCGUGCCAGCGGCCGCGGUAAUACGGAGGGUGCAAGCGUUAAUCGGAAUUACUGGGCGUAAGGCGCGCGUAGGCGGCUAGAUCAGUCGGGUGUGAAAGCCCCGGGCUUAACCUGGGAACUGCAUCCGAUACUGUCUAGCUUGAGUACAGGAGAGGGGAGUGGAAUUCCACAUGUAGCGGUGAAAUGCGUAGAUAUGUGGAGGAACACCAAUGGCGAAGGCAGCUCUCUGGCCUGAUACUGACGCUGAGGUGCGAAAGCGUGGGGAGCAAACAGGAUUAGAUACCCGCGUAGUC
RNAcentral lists this ribosomal RNA (465 nucleotides) under uncultured bacterium. RNAcentral's name for it is "partial 16S ribosomal RNA". It matches the Rfam family "Bacterial small subunit ribosomal RNA", at positions 339 to 795 of the family's 1533-position model. The record is from RNAcentral.